UGAAGAUGGCGGUGUAGAUGACCAGCAGCAGGAUGAGCCAGUCCCACACCGCCUUGAAGGGGCUGUAGUGCAGGAUGGUCCAUUUGUGGAUGCGCGGUGCCUGCAGCUUGUACUCGGGGAGGACGUCGGCACCCAGGGACAGCACCUGGGUGACCUUCUCGGUGACGUUGUGGGUGCGGUCCUUCAGUUUGGUGGGGGCGAUGAUCUCCUUCUCUCCGGACGGCGCCCCC
Molecule: long non-coding RNA, 230 nt
Filed under: Gallus gallus (chicken)
Lineage: Eukaryota; Metazoa; Chordata; Aves; Galliformes; Phasianidae
Source: RNAcentral